RNAcentral lists this long non-coding RNA (381 nucleotides) under Felis catus (domestic cat). RNAcentral's name for it is "lncRNA (ENSFCAG00000048483.1)". Lineage: Eukaryota; Metazoa; Chordata; Mammalia; Carnivora; Felidae. The record is from RNAcentral.
UUUUAGACACCUUUACACUUUCUUUUGCUUCUAACUAGCAAGGAUUUUUCCAAACAAGCUUUUAAUUAGCAGGCUAGCUUCUUGACCUGACUGGCCAUUGGUGCCCUUCAUUUAAUGCACCUCACAGCCUGGGAUCUUGACUCCUCUCCAUCCUGAAAAUCUGAAGUGAUUGCUUCUACAACUCUUGGACUUCAGUCUCCUGGACCUUUAACCUCAUGCUUUGACAAUUUCCACGUGGGCUACAACGAAGCAAGCAGUCGAACAGUUACUGUACAUCAAGGAGGUACUAAUGGCUGUAGCUGAAACACCUGCUAACCUGCUAUUGUAAGCAUUUAUCCAGUAUUUGCCUGCGGCAGAAAUAAAUGAAUAAAUAAACUUUCA